CAUCUGCCAGCAGAAAUCCCUUUCGUAAUGGUUUGUAAACCUUACAAGAUUCUGCAAUAAUUGCUCGACGGUGACUUCACGCAGGGCUCAGACACACGAUGGACUUACUGUGGUUUCUGGAGCUACCAUGGUAACU
Molecule: long non-coding RNA, 136 nt
Organism: Neopelma chrysocephalum (saffron-crested tyrant-manakin)
Lineage: Eukaryota; Metazoa; Chordata; Aves; Passeriformes; Pipridae
Exons: 3
Source: RefSeq, a predicted model, not a curated record